AUGGGAGAGAGAGGAAGAGAUACAGUCUCCACGCACAAGCAACAUUGCGCUGUCGAGGGAACUGCGUGUUUUCCUAUGGCGGAGAACGGCGGCGCAGGGCAGUCGCAGCACGCCGACGACCUCAAAAGUGCGCCGAACGCAGACCCUGGGUUAGAUCGGAAUGAACCACAACCAUGUAGCCAGAGCACACCCGUGGCUCAGAACAUCGAUGGGGGUCGUAAGAACGAUGAGAACGACAGCAAUCCAGCGGAAGGGGUCGAACCAACCAUCAACGUCGAAGCGGAGGAGGACGAAGAGGGAUGGACAAGACGGCAAAGGAACCGAGACGGGAGGUCAUUCAGAGUAGCAGCAGAGGGAAGCCUUGGUGCGAUAGAGCGGGCGAUGGAAGAUGCGGUCAAACUCGGAAAGAAAGUCGUGUUCGAACCAGCUGUGGGCAUGACCUUCAAUUCUGAGCAGGAGGCUUAUGAAUUUUACAACGCAUACUCGUGGGAACUAGGGUUCGGCAUCAAGCGUGGGAACAAGUAUGUCAACGGCAACAAUUACAAAUCUAAACAAGAUUUGCUGUGCUCGUGUGAGGGCAAAGACAGUAAGCAAUUCUCAAGAUCUUCCAGGACACAGUGCCGCGCCAUGGUCAGACUGCUGCGGACUCAAGACGACGGUUGGUAUUAUGCCACAGUUGUGUUGGAGCACAAUCACAGAAUGGCUGAAACAAUAGGAGAAAGGAAAAUUUGGAAGUGCCACAACCACAUUGAUUCAUCAAUCAAAGAUUUAGUAGGCCACCUGCGCCUAAACAAUGUAUCACUGACCAAGGUUUACGGCGUCAUGUCAGAUAUGCACGGCCGUUAUGAAGAUGUGCCUUUUCGGAAGAGGUCUCUCCGCAACAUGUGUGCAGCAAUCGCAUACGAGUCCAGCCAAGACGACAUCAACAAAACUCUCGCUUUGUUUUCAAGCAUGCAAGCCGAGAACAAAGGUUUUUACUUUGCGGUGAAGACUGACGAUGAAAGAAGGGUAUCUGGAUUGUAUUGGUGCCAUCAAAAAAGCAGGGCAGAUUAUACAUGUUUUGGUGAUGUUGUGACUUUUGAUACAACAUAUAAGAGCAACCUAUACGAGAUGCCUGUAGGCAUGUUCAUCGGCGUAAACAAUCAUUAUCAAUGUUGUGUUUUUGGCUGUGUUGUGCUUCGUGAAGAAACUGUAGAAUCUUUCGAGUGGGCAUACGAAACUUUCUUAUCUUCAGUGGACAACAAAGUACCCAAGACGUUCUUGACAGACCAAAGCAGGCAGAUGGAGCUUGCAAUUGCUUCAGUCAUGCCAACCACUAUCCACAGAUGGUGCAAAUGGCACGUUUUCAAAAAGAUGAAGGAAAAAGUGGGCAACGUAUACAGAAAGGGUUCUGCAUUCCGCAUAGAGUUUGACAUGCUCAUCAAUGAGAUGAUGACCGUGGAUGAGUUUGAAAAAGAGUGGGAUGUAUUAAUGUAUACAUAUGGUCUCGACAGAAACUCAUUCAUGAAGCAAGUUUAUGAGGUUAGGGUAAAGUGGGCGAAACCAUACCUGAAGGACAACUUCUGCGCAAAGAUGUGCAGCACUCAAAGAAGCGAGUGCAUGAACAAUGUUUUAAAAAGCUAUGUCGCAAGAUCAGCACCUCUCAACAGUUUCGUCAUCCAAUUCAAUAAAAUGUAUGCCGACAGAUGUGCCGAAGAGGACUACGAGCAUGCCCAUACAAACAAGGACAAGGCAGUUAUCAAAUUCAAUAUUCCAAUAGAACGCCAUGCAUCGAAUGUCUACACAAGAACCAUGUUUAGGAUCUUCUCAGAGGAGUUGUAUCAAUCUGGCCCGUACGAAGUUAUAGGACAACAGCUCGACGGAAAGAUGAUAGUUGAGCAUGUGAACGCUGAAAUCAGGAAACGCUGGUGCAAAGUCACAUAUGAAGUAGACGUAGACAGAGAGAGUGACACAUACACAUGUGAGUGUGGCAUGUUUCAACAUUCAGGAAUACUGUGCAGACACAUUCUCAAGGUGAUGCUUCACGUCAAGCUUCAAGUAAUCCCGGACAAAUACAUAAUGAAGAGGUGGACAAGGGAUGCCCGCGACAUGCUACCAGAACAUCUCAAGUGCUACCAGAAUGAUGCAAGUGUUCAAGUCUCCAAGACAUUCAGGCACAACAUCGUUUACGUAAAAGCUCUUGAGUUAGUUAAGUUGGCGAACACAUCAGUCCCCACAUUCCAGUACGCAAUCCAAAAGUUUCACGAAAUGCAAGAAGAGCUCAACAAAAUGAUUGCUACUGAGGCGUUAUCAGAUCCCCAAAAUCAGAACAAGAGCUGCGGAGGUUCAACGCAAAAUGGAGGGAGCUCAGAGAAACCUGAUGCCACAAAUGGCAUAGCACAUCCUGAUCAAGCAGGAGGGCAUAGUGAUCAAGACUUUUCUGAGGACGUGCUACCACCCGAAAGGAAAAGAUCCAAGGGCAGGCCCAAAACAAAGCGCAUCAGAACCACAUCAGAGAUUGCUACCAAGAACAGCAAAAGGAAAUGCUGCAUAUGUGGCUCGGACGGUCACAUCACAAUCUCGUGUCCAUGCACGGCGGCAGGUGGAGCCGAUCAUGAAGGAACGAAUGCUCAAGAAACUCAUGCAUCACAAAACAUGGAGGCAGGCGAGAGUAUGUUCAGUCCGGUUGGGAGCAACGUUACUUCAGAAAACCCAGAUGCAGAGCAAAGCAUCACAAAGCCAGCAAAUCAGAGGAACAAUCAGCAAAAACCACCGUCUGCCACAAGGAGAUGCAAGAACUGUGGGCUACCUGGGCACUACGUCAGUACGUGUCCAACAUACGAAGGGCCCAAGAAGCCACCAAAAGAGGUCAGAUGCACGACAUGCACGCUAUGGGGCCACUAUAGCACCACCUGCGGAGGCGACACAACCUACAAGCGCAAGCAUGCAUCUUAG
This 2934-nucleotide ribosomal RNA is filed under the name Triticum aestivum (bread wheat). Its description in RNAcentral is "partial small subunit ribosomal RNA". Lineage: Eukaryota; Viridiplantae; Streptophyta; Magnoliopsida; Poales; Poaceae. The record is from RNAcentral.